Molecule: ribosomal RNA, 799 nt
Filed under: uncultured Glomeromycotina
Lineage: Eukaryota; Fungi; Glomeromycota
Description: SSU rRNA
Rfam family: Eukaryotic small subunit ribosomal RNA
Source: RNAcentral
AUCAACUUUCGAUGGUAGGAUAGAGGCCUACCAUGGUGGUAACGGGUAACGGGGUGUUAGGGCACGACACCGGAGAGGGAGCCUGAGAAACGGCUACCACAUCCAAGGAUGGCAGCAGGCGCGCAAAUUACCCAAUCCCGACACGGGGAGGUAGUGACAAUAAAUAACAAUACGGGGUUCUUUCGGAUUUCGUAAUUGGAAUGAGUACAAUUUAAAUCUCUUAACGAGGAACAAUUGGAGGGCAAGUCUGGUGCCAGCAGCCGCGGUAAUUCCAGCUCCAAUAGCGUAUAUUAAAGUUGUUGCAGUUAAAAAGCUCGUAGUUGAAUUUCGGGAUCAUUAGGUUGGUCGUGCCUCUGGUAUGUACUGAUCUCGGUGGUUCCUACUUCUUGAAGAACCGUAAUGCCAUUAAUUUGGUGUUGCGGGGAAACAGGACUGUUACUUUGAAAAAAUUAGAGUGUUUAAAGCAGGCAAUCGCUUGAAUACAUUAGCAUGGAAUAAUGAAAUAGGACGUUCGAUCCUAUUUUGUUGGUUUCUAGGAUUGACGUAAUGAUUAAUAGGGAUAGUUGGGGGCAUUAGUAUUCAAUUGUCAGAGGUGAAAUUCUUGGAUUUAUUGAAGACUAACUACUGCGAAAGCAUUUGCCAAGGAUGUUUUCAUUAAUCAAGAACGAAAGUUAGGGGAUCGAAGACGAUCAGAUACCGUCGUAGUCUUAACCAUAAACUAUGCCGACUAGGGAUCGGAUGAUGUUAAUUUUUUAAUGACUCAUUCGGCGCCUUACGGGAAACCAAAGUGUUUGGGUUC